Molecule: ribosomal RNA, 468 nt
Filed under: uncultured bacterium
Lineage: Bacteria
Description: partial 16S ribosomal RNA
Rfam family: Bacterial small subunit ribosomal RNA
Source: RNAcentral
GACGAACGCUGGCGGCGUGCUUAACACAUGCAAGUCGAACGGAAAGGCCCUGCUUUUGUGGGUUGCUCGAUUGGCGAACGGGUGAGUAACACGUGUGUAACCUGCCCUUGACUUUGGGAUAACUUCAGGAAACUUGGGCUAAUACCGGAUAGGAGCUCCUGCUGCAUGGUGGGGGUUGGUAAGUUUCGGCGGUUGGGGAUGGACUCGCGGCUUAUCAGCUUGUUGGUGGGGUAGUGGCUUACCAAGGCUUUGACGGGUAGCCGGCCUGAGAGGGUGACCGGCCACAUGGGGACUGAGAUACGGCACAGAAGGCAACGGGAGGCAGCAGGGGGGAAUAUUGCACAAUGGGCGGAAGCCAGAUGCAGCAAAGCAGGGUGCGGGAAGACGGGCUUCGGGUUGUAAAAAGAUUUAGACUGUGACGAAGAGUGAGUGACGGUAAUGGGUAAAGAAGCACCGGCUAACUACGUG